GCAGUCGGCCGGUCUGUCGCUCGCAUCUUCGCGAUGCGGGAGGAAAGUCCGGGCAACACAGAGCAUCCCACUUCCUAACAGAAAGCUAUCCGCGAGGGUGGAGUAACGCAGAAGAAAAUAACCGCCUCUUGCAAAAGAGGUAAGGGUGAGAAGGUGGGGUAAGAGCCUACCGGUCUUGUGGCGACACAAGAGCCGUGCGUCUUGGGAGUUGUAAGGUCAUGUAAACCGGCGCUUGAGAGCUGCUCGCCCGAUGCCGGAGGGUAGACCGCUAAAGCCGUAUGGUGACAUGCGGCGCAGAUAAAUGACAGACACCUCUUGAAUUGUCAAGUGGCACACGCCGCUUUGAGGCACAGAACCCGGCUUACAGGCCGACUGCACUU
This 380-nucleotide RNase P RNA is filed under the name Prevotellaceae bacterium. RNAcentral's name for it is "RNase P RNA component class A". It matches the Rfam family "Bacterial RNase P class A". From Rfam's summary of the family: Ribonuclease P (RNase P) is a ubiquitous endoribonuclease, found in archaea, bacteria and eukarya as well as chloroplasts and mitochondria. Lineage: Bacteria; Pseudomonadati; Bacteroidota; Bacteroidia; Bacteroidales; Prevotellaceae. The record is from RNAcentral.